Molecule: ribosomal RNA, 504 nt
Filed under: uncultured bacterium
Lineage: Bacteria
Description: partial 16S ribosomal RNA
Rfam family: Bacterial small subunit ribosomal RNA
Source: RNAcentral
GACGAACGCUGGCGGCGUGCCUAAUACAUGCAAGUAGAACGCACAGUUUAUACCGUAGCUUGCUCCACCAUAGACUGUGAGUUGCGAACGGGUGAGUAACGCGUAGGUAACCUGCCUGGUAGCGGGGGAUAACUAUUGGAAACGAUAGCUAAUACCGCAUAAUAUUAAUUAUUGCAUGAUAAUUAAUUGAAAGGUGCAAUUGCACCACUACUAUAUGGACCUGCGUUGUAUUAGCUAGUAGGUGAGGUAACGGCUCACCUAGGCGACGAUACAUAGCCGACCUGAGAGGGUGAUCGGCCACACUGGGACUGAGACACGGCCCAGACUCCUACGGGAGGCAGCAGUAGGGAAUCUUCGGCAAUGGACGAAAGUCUGACCGAGCAACGCCGCGUGAGUGAAGAAGGUGUUCGGAUCGUAAAGCUCUGUUGUAAGAGAAGAACGGGUGUGAGAGUGGAAAGUUCACACUGGGACGGUAUCUUACCAGAAAGGGGCGGCUAACUACGG